RNAcentral lists this ribosomal RNA (441 nucleotides) under uncultured bacterium. Its description in RNAcentral is "bacterial SSU rRNA". It matches the Rfam family "Bacterial small subunit ribosomal RNA", at positions 338 to 795 of the family's 1533-position model. The record is from RNAcentral.
CCUANGGGCGGCUGCAGUCGAGAAUAUUCCCCAAUGGGCGAAAGCCUGAGGGAGCGACGCCGCGUGCGGGAUGAAGGCCUUCGGGUCGUAAACCGCUUUUGCCGAGGAAGAACUAUGACGGUACUCGGAGAAUAAGAGGUUGCUAACUCUGUGCCAGCAGCAGCGGUAAUACAGAGACCUCAAGCAUUAUCCGGAUUUAUUGGGCGUAAAGGGUCCGCAGGUGGUUCGGCACGUCAUCGGUUAAAUCUUCGGGCUCAACCCGGGAACCGCCGGUGAUACGGCCAAACUAGAGGGUGGGAAAGGUCAGCGGAAUUCACGGUGUAGUAGUAAAAUGCGUUAAUAUCGUGAAGAACACCAAAUGCGAAGGCAGCUGACUGGAACACUCCUGACACUCAGGGACGAAAGCGUGGGUAGCGAAAGGGAUUAGAUACCCCANUANUC